Long non-coding RNA from Melospiza melodia melodia, 355 nucleotides. RefSeq lists it as uncharacterized. The record is from RefSeq and is a predicted model, not a curated record. The transcript is spliced from 3 exons. Lineage: Eukaryota; Metazoa; Chordata; Aves; Passeriformes; Passerellidae.
UCUACUAAAAGAAUAUUUCAGAAACCACAACUCUUAAGAGCUUUGCUCAGGCAGCCAUUGGUCCGCCACUGGCAUUAUUCCACUGAAAGCACAUUAUCGUUGAAUAAACAUGAGCUGCCAGAAAUUGUGGAUUUGCACAGAGGCUUUGGGAAAUCUGGCCAAGCCUGCAGGAAAACAUCUGCCUGGAGAUAUGUGAAUCUUCUUCUUCAUCAAGAGAAACAUGUUUUGGCCAGAGAUUUGAGCUUGUAAAGCACAACAGGCACAGCAAACCCUUCUAAAAUUCCCAGAUGAUACCAUCCUAAAACAGAAAACACUGAGAGUUGAAUUUACAUGAAAUAAAGCAUAUUAUGUCUGU